This 253-nucleotide ribosomal RNA is filed under the name uncultured bacterium. RNAcentral describes it as "partial 16S ribosomal RNA". It matches the Rfam family "Bacterial small subunit ribosomal RNA", at positions 524 to 776 of the family's 1533-position model. The record is from RNAcentral.
UACAGGGGGGGCAAGCGUUGUUCGGAAUUACUGGGCGUAAAGGGCUCGUAGGCGGCCAACUAAGUCACACGUGAAAUCCCCAGGCUUAACCUGGGAACUGCGUGUGAUACUGGUUGGCUUGAAUCCGGGAGAGGGAUGCAGAAUUCCAGGUGUAGCGGUGAAAUGCGUAGAUAUCUGGAGGAAUACCGGUGGCGAAGGCGGCAUCCUGGACCGGCAUUGACGCUGAUGAGCGAAAGCUAGGGGAGCAAACGGG